GCUAGUUGAGCGUUUCCAGCCAACACGGAGACGCAGCGCACAGCUCAGUAACACGUGGCUAAUCUGCCCUUGGGACCGGAACACCCCCGGGAAACUGGGGCUAAUUCUCGAUAGGUGAAGAACUCUGGAAUGAGUCUUUGCCAAAAAGAUGCUAGAGUUAUGCUCUUUGGCAUCGCCCAAGGAUGAGGCCGCGACCGAUCAGGUUGUUGGUGAGGUAAUGGCUCACCAAGCCUUUUACCGGUGCGGGCCGUGAGAGCGGGAGCCCGGAGAUGGGCACUGAGACAAGGGCCCAGGCCCUACGGGGCGCAGCAGUCGCGAAAACUUUGCAAUACACGAAAGUGUGACAGGGCUAUCCCGAGUGCCAUCCGCUGAGGAAGGCUUUUACCCAGUCUAGAACGCUGGGGGAAUAAGGAGAGGGCAAGUCUGGUGUCAGCCGCCGCGGUAAUACCAGCUCUCCGAGUGGUGUGGAUGUUUAUUGGGCCUAAAGCAUCCGUAGCUGGCUAAGUUAGUCCCUUGUUAAAUCCACCGAAUUAAUCGUUGGAUUGCGGGGGAUACUGCUUGGCUAGGGGACGAGAGAGGCAGACGGUAUUUCCGGGGUAGGGGUGAAAUCCUAUAAUCCCGGGAAGACCACCAGUGGCGAAGGCUGUCUGCUAGAACGCGCCCGACGGUGAGGGAUGAAAGCUGGGGGAGCGAACCGGAUUAGAUACCCGGGUAGUCCCAGCUGUAAACGAUGCA
This 735-nucleotide ribosomal RNA is filed under the name uncultured archaeon. RNAcentral's name for it is "bacterial SSU rRNA". It matches the Rfam family "Archaeal small subunit ribosomal RNA", at positions 53 to 764 of the family's 1478-position model. The record is from RNAcentral.